RNAcentral lists this ribosomal RNA (427 nucleotides) under Streptococcus cristatus. Its description in RNAcentral is "bacterial SSU rRNA". It matches the Rfam family "Bacterial small subunit ribosomal RNA", at positions 28 to 436 of the family's 1533-position model. The record is from RNAcentral. Lineage: Bacteria; Bacillati; Bacillota; Bacilli; Lactobacillales; Streptococcaceae.
GACGAACGCUGGCGGCGUGCCUAAUACAUGCAAGUAGAACGCUGAAGGAGGAGCCUGCUCUUCUGGAUGAGUUGCGAACGGGUGAGUAACGCGUAGGUAACCUGCCUGGUAGCGGGGGAUAACUAUUGGAAACGAUAGCUAAUACCGCAUAACAUUGACUAUUGCAUGAUAGUCAAUUGAAAGGUGCAAUUGCACCACUACCAGAUGGACCUGCGUUGUAUUAGCUAGUUGGUGGGGUAACGGCUCACCAAGGCGACGAUACAUAGCCGACCUGAGAGGGUGAUCGGCCACACUGGGACUGAGACACGGCCCAGACUCCUACGGGAGGCAGCAGUAGGGAAUCUUCGGCAAAUGGGGGGAAACCCCUGACCGAGCAAACGCCCGCGUGAAGUGAAAGAAAGGUUUUUCGGAUCGUAAAAGCUUCUGU